Molecule: transfer RNA, 88 nt
Filed under: Blautia glucerasea
Lineage: Bacteria; Bacillati; Bacillota; Clostridia; Lachnospirales; Lachnospiraceae
Also listed under: 5 other names
Description: tRNA-Ser
Rfam family: tRNA
About the family: Transfer RNA (tRNA) molecules are approximately 80 nucleotides in length. Their secondary structure includes four short double-helical elements and three loops (D, anti-codon, and T loops).
Source: RNAcentral
GGAGAUGUACCCAAGUGGCUGAAGGGUCCGCACUCGAAAUGCGGUAGGUCGGGCAACCGAUGCGAGGGUUCAAAUCCCUCCAUCUCCG